Molecule: transfer RNA, 93 nt
Filed under: Tilletia horrida
Lineage: Eukaryota; Fungi; Basidiomycota; Exobasidiomycetes; Tilletiales; Tilletiaceae
Description: tRNA-Cys
Rfam family: tRNA
About the family: Transfer RNA (tRNA) molecules are approximately 80 nucleotides in length. Their secondary structure includes four short double-helical elements and three loops (D, anti-codon, and T loops).
Source: RNAcentral
GAGGUGGUAGCUCAGUGGUAGAGCGGAUGAUUGCAGCACUUCUCAACCAGCGCGGAACUCAUCAGGUCAGGUGUUCAACUCACCUUCGCCUCU